GGUUCGCUGGUGUAGUUGGUUAUCACAUAUGCUUUACACGCAUAAGGUCGCCGGAUCGAGCCCGGUGCGAAUCA
Non-coding RNA from Spinellus fusiger, 74 nucleotides. The record is from the annotation of a GenBank genome assembly. Lineage: Eukaryota; Fungi; Mucoromycota; Mucoromycetes; Mucorales; Phycomycetaceae.